CUACGGGUCGCACCAGUGGGGAAUUUUGGACAAUGGAGGAAACUCUGAUCCAGGGAUACCGCGUGGGUGAUGAAGAUUUACGGAUUGUAAAGCCCUUUUAGUAGGGAAAAUAAUGAUGGUACCUACAGAAAAAGCAUCAGCUAACUCUGUGCCAGCAGCUGCGGUAAUACAGAGGAUGCGAGUGUUAUUCGGAAUCACUGGGCGUAAAGGGCGCGUAGGCGGUUAUUUAAGUCCGCAAUGAAAUACCGGGGCUCAACUUCGGUGCUGUUGUGGAUACUGUUUAACUAGAGAACGGAAGAGGUGAAUAGAAUUCCUGGUGGAGAGGUGAAAUUCUUAGAUAUCAGGAGGAAUGCCAGAGGCGAAAGCGGUUCACUGGGACGUUUCUGACGCUGAGGCGCGAAAGCGUGGGGAUCAAACAGGAUUAGAUACCCUCGUAGUC
Molecule: ribosomal RNA, 439 nt
Filed under: uncultured bacterium
Lineage: Bacteria
Description: partial 16S ribosomal RNA
Rfam family: Bacterial small subunit ribosomal RNA
Source: RNAcentral